RNAcentral lists this long non-coding RNA (1904 nucleotides) under Equus caballus (horse). Its description in RNAcentral is "lncRNA (ENSECAG00000050120.1)". The record is from RNAcentral. Lineage: Eukaryota; Metazoa; Chordata; Mammalia; Perissodactyla; Equidae.
CUGGAACCCCUUUGGUCCCAAGCGAACCAGGAGAGUUGGUCGCCCUGGAAAAGAAGACAGAGUGAGAAGAGAGAGGAAGCCAGGAGUCUGGCUAAUUGAUGGAUCAACCAACCGAUCAGCUCGGAGAGGUGCCGGCCCUGCCCCAUGGGACUGGCUGUGGCUGGAAUGCAGUAUCCAAUUACCACGUGGUCUCAACCCCCGUGUGGGUGGCUGUGUGGUGAGAACCACAGGCAGACGACAGCUGUCCUUCUGUGCAGAGUGGCUCCCCAACCAGACUCUGCGGGGUGUUACAGUGUUCCCUGAGGGAGGUCGCUUCUGAGUGCUGGGGCCACAGACUAAACAGACAAUUAAAACUCAUCUGAGUUUUGGCAGUUUCUCCAAAAGCAUUUCUACUCCUGCUUUUUUGUUUUUUGGUGUAUGCUUUUCAACUUCAAGGAACACACUUUCCUCUGCAAAGGAAUUAUACUGAAUCGCCUAGCCAUUGCACGCAGGCCUCCCCUCUCCUGAAGAUGAACUUGGCAACUGCUUCACCAUGACAUCCUGCACAUCCAGAGAGAUGGCCCUUUUCUUCUUCUUGUGCUACACAGCCUCGCUCUCCUGUAUGAAGGGACGAUGCAGUGUUCACUUCCACCAGACUAGCUCCACUCGAGCCACAGGCUCUCCUCACAUUUCUGCUUGUUUGGGUAACUCGUUGUGGAUGGGCCCCCAGGGGCAGCUUCUAUUCUAAACCUGUGUCGUCCUGGAGGCCAGAGUCAGCACAGCCAGCCUGCCUCCAAAAGUACGAGUCCAAGGCCAAAAGUAUUGAAUCCUUCUGAAAGCAUCACUUCAUCAGGUUUGCACUGGACGGAGGAACCGGCCUUGGAAGACCUGCCAUAUCUGCAGCCCCCUUUAAGGACCGGUGCUAUUCCGGUGGAGCUGUGGCACAUGGGCCAGAGCUGAUUGGAUCAAGUGACACCCGACCCGAGGGCUGCCCUUCUGUAGGUCAGCCAGCAUCCUAUGAGGUAGCCCGGCCCAGGAGCCAGUGCUGCCUGAACCAAUCAAAUUCUUCUGCUUAGGGAGUUUGGAUGCAACAUAGAGGGGCAGCCAAGUGGUUGUUAGUGAGAGAAGCAGAAUGAUAAAGAAAAGCAAGGACGGAGAGAUGAUCAGUCUGUGGCGGCAGAGGGAAGUAGGGUCAAUGCACAGCUCCUGGAGAGAAGCUGCAGAUCCAGGGCAAUGUAAAACCCAGAGGCCCCAUCACGGUGCCCCCCACAUCCCCAGUACCUACCUCACCACGCUGGGUUCCUGAUAAAGCUCGUUAAAUGGGCCCGGUGUGCAUUCUCGAAACGCCUCCUUGCCCUGAACCACCUGCCAUGUGUUUUCAUACAGGUGAGUUAGGUGUGCCGCUCAGUGGGGGCUCUGGCACCCUUCCUAGAGUUACAAUCUGUGAAACUGAGGCCCUGCGGGAAGGGUGGAUUGAUGCACAUUUCCAGAUUUGAGGCUGGGAGGAGCCACCACUGCGAGACUUUCCUCCCCAAUCAUGUCCUUCUCAGAGCUUCAGUGAGGACAGUUGUCCCUGCAGUGCCCCGGCAAGAGAAAUCCCAGACCUCUCUGUCUUUGAGUGGUAAGGACCACUCGCAAGCACCCACUAUUUCGUUGGGUCCCAUGAGUCCCCUCCCCUCAACGUCGUACUCUGCUCUGGCCGGGCCAUACAGUUCGAGGGGAGUGAAACUGGAGAAGAAUGUGUGGAAGUUUGUGGCUUUCAUCUCUUAAACAAAUAGCAAAUUCCUCUGGGCUGCGGCUGCUGGAAUUGAACAAUGAUGUGUUCCGGGAGGCGCUAAGGCGUUACCUUGGCAACACCCAGGCUGUUUUCAGGCAAGAUCUAGUUAAAUGGGAAAGAGAACAAAAAUAAUAAAGGGAAGAGUCUG